Molecule: transfer RNA, 85 nt
Filed under: Patescibacteria group bacterium
Lineage: Bacteria
Description: tRNA-Ser
Rfam family: tRNA
About the family: Transfer RNA (tRNA) molecules are approximately 80 nucleotides in length. Their secondary structure includes four short double-helical elements and three loops (D, anti-codon, and T loops).
Source: RNAcentral
GGAGGCGUCGCAUAGCGGUCGAGUGCACCGGUUUCGAAAACCGGCAAGGGGCAACCCUUCGUGAGUUCGAAUCUCACCGCCUCCG